Molecule: ribosomal RNA, 327 nt
Filed under: uncultured eukaryote
Lineage: Eukaryota
Description: partial 18S ribosomal RNA
Rfam family: Eukaryotic small subunit ribosomal RNA
Source: RNAcentral
CCCUUAGAUGUUCUGGGCCGCACACGCGCUACACUGAAGGAGGCAGCGUGUACUCCUGGAUCGAAAGAUUUGGGUAACCCGCGAAUCUCCUUCGUGCUAGGGAUUGAGGUUUGCAAUUAUCCUUCAUGAACGAGGAAUUCCCAGUAAGUGCAAGUCAUAAGCUUGCGCUGACUACGUCCCUGCCCUUUGUACACACCGCCCGUCGCCACUACCGAUUGAAUGAUUUAGUGAGGACUUCGGACUGGGACCGAUGCGGCUUUCGGGCUGCGUCGGUAUUCUGGAAAGAUGUCCAAACUGUAUCAUUUAGAGGAAGUAAAAGUCGUAACA